This 447-nucleotide ribosomal RNA is filed under the name uncultured bacterium. RNAcentral's name for it is "bacterial SSU rRNA". It matches the Rfam family "Bacterial small subunit ribosomal RNA", at positions 355 to 825 of the family's 1533-position model. The record is from RNAcentral.
UGGGGAAUUUUGGGCAAUGGGGGAAACCCUGACCCAGCAACGCCGCGUGAAGGAUGAAGUAUUUCGGUAUGUAAACUUCGAAAGAAUAGGAAGAAUAGAUGACGGUACUAUUUAUAAGGUCCGGCUAACUACGUGCCAGCAGCCGCGGUAAUACGUAGGGACCAAGCGUUGUUCGGAUUUACUGGGCGUAAAGGGCGCGUAGGCGGUGUGUCAAGUCAGUUGUGAAAUCUCCGAGCUUAACUCGGAACGGUCAACUGAUACUGUCACACUAGAGUACAGAAGGGGCAAUCGGAAUUCUUGGUGUAGCGGUGAAAUGCGUAGAUAUCAAGAGGAACACCUGAGGCGAAGGCGGGUUGCUGGGCUGAUACUGACGCUGAGGCGCGAAAGCUAGGGUAGCAAACGGGAUUAGAUACCCAAGUAGUCCCUGAGCGGGCUGGCAAGGCGCAU